GACGAACGCUGGCGGCGUGCUUAACACAUGCAAGUCGAACGGAAAGGCCUUGCUUUUGUGGGGUGCUCGAGUGGCGAACGGGUGAGUAACACGUGAGUAACCUGCCCUUGACUUUGGGAUAACUUCAGGAAACUGGGGCUAAUACCGGAUAGGAGCUCCUGCUGCAUGGUGGGGGUUGGAAAGUUUCGGCGGUUGGGGAUGGACUCGCGGUUUAUCAGCUUGUUGGUGGGGUAGUGGCUUACCAAGGCUUUGACGGGUAGCCGGCCUGAGAGGGUGACCGGCCACAUUGGGACUGAGAUACGGCCCAGACUCCUACGGGAGGCAGCAGUGGGGAAUAUUGCACAAUGGGCGGAAGCCUGAUGCAGCAACGCCGCGUGCGGGAUGACGGCCUUCGGGUUGUAAACCGCUUUCGCCUGUGACGAAGCGUGAGUGACGGUAAUGGGUAAAGAAGCACCGGCUAACUACGUG
This 468-nucleotide ribosomal RNA is filed under the name uncultured bacterium. RNAcentral's name for it is "partial 16S ribosomal RNA". It matches the Rfam family "Bacterial small subunit ribosomal RNA", at positions 28 to 507 of the family's 1533-position model. The record is from RNAcentral.